UUUUAACGCUGAGGUGUGAUGACGAGGCACUACGGUGCUGAAGUAACAAAUGCCCUGCUUCCAGGAAAAGCCUCUAAGCAUCAGGUAACACGAAAUCGUACCCCAAACCGACACAGGUGGUCAGGUAGAGAAUACCAAGGCGCUUGAGAGAACUCGGGUGAAGGAACUAGGCAAAAUGGUGCCGUAACUUCGGGAGAAGGCACGCUGAUAUGUAGGUGAAGCCCCUGCGGGUGGAGCUGAAAUCAGUCGAAGAUACCAGCUGGCUGCAACUGUUUAUUAAAAACACAGCACUGUGCAAACACGAAAGUGGACGUAUACGGUGUGACGCCUGCCCGGUGCCGGAAGGUUAAUUGAUGGGGUUAGCGGCAACGCGAAGCUCUUGAUCGAAGCCCCGGUAAACGGCGGCCGUAACUAUAACGGUCCUAAGGUAGCGAAAUUCCUUGUCGGGUAAGUUCCGACCUGCACGAAUGGCGUAAUGAUGGCCAGGCUGUCUCCACCCGAGACUCAGUGAAAUUGAACUCGCUGUGAAGAUGCAGUGUACCCGCGGCAAGACGGAAAGACCCCGUGAACCUUUACUAUAGCUUGACACUGAACACUGGUCCUUGAUGUGUAGGAUAGGUGGGAGGCUUUGAAGCGUGGACGCCAGUCUGCGUGGAGCCAUCCUUGAAAUACCACCCUUUAAUGGCUGGUGUUCUAACGUUGACCCGUUACCCGGGUUGCGGACAGUGUCUGGUGGGUAGUUUGACUGGGGCGGUCUCCUCCCAAAGAGUAACGGAGGAGCACGAAGGUUAGCUAAUCCUGGUCGGACAUCAGGAGGUUAGUGCAAUGGCAUAAGCUAGCUUGACUGCGAGAGUGACGGCUCGAGCAGGUGCGAAAGCAGGUCAUAGUGAUCCGGUGGUUCUGAAUGGAAGGGCCAUCGCUCAACGGAUAAAAGGUACUCCGGGGAUAACAGGCUGAUACCGCCCAAGAGUUCAUAUCGACGGCGGUGUUUGGCACCUCGAUGUCGGCUCAUCACAUCCUGGGGCUGAAGUAGGUCCCAAGGGUAUGGCUGUUCGCCAUUUAAAGUGGUACGCGAGCUGGGUUUAGAACGUCGUGAGACAGUUCGGUCCCUAUCUGCCGUGGGCGCUGGAGAAUUGAGGGGGGCUGCUCCUAGUACGAGAGGACCGGAGUGGACGCAUCACUGGUGUUCGGGUUGUCAUGCCAAUGGCACUGCCCGGUAGCUAAAUGCGGAAGAGAUAAGUGCUGAAAGCAUCUAAGCACGAAACUUGCCCCGAGAUGAGUUCUCCCUGA
RNAcentral lists this ribosomal RNA (1290 nucleotides) under Enterobacter cancerogenus. Its description in RNAcentral is "partial 23S ribosomal RNA". It matches the Rfam family "Bacterial large subunit ribosomal RNA", at positions 1548 to 2818 of the family's 2925-position model. Lineage: Bacteria; Pseudomonadati; Pseudomonadota; Gammaproteobacteria; Enterobacterales; Enterobacteriaceae. The record is from RNAcentral.